Vicia villosa (hairy vetch) is the source of this 217-nucleotide long non-coding RNA. RefSeq lists it as uncharacterized. Lineage: Eukaryota; Viridiplantae; Streptophyta; Magnoliopsida; Fabales; Fabaceae. The transcript is spliced from 3 exons. The record is from RefSeq and is a predicted model, not a curated record.
UGGGUGAGACUCCUUGGAAUGAACAUGGGAAGCCUCUAUUGGAAGUGAUAGCUCAAAAGGCCCUAGAGAAAAAGUCACAAGCUGGAAAGUGGGCUGAACCUCAUUUGGAAAUAGUUAAAACUGUAAGCCCUUCAUUUAGAAACAGCACCCUGACCUCAAGGUAUUGCAUGAAUGAGUUAGAUGAAUCAUGGACAAAAUACUUAAUAUCCUAUAUGUU